This 253-nucleotide ribosomal RNA is filed under the name uncultured bacterium. RNAcentral's name for it is "partial 16S ribosomal RNA". It matches the Rfam family "Bacterial small subunit ribosomal RNA", at positions 524 to 776 of the family's 1533-position model. The record is from RNAcentral.
UACGUAGGGGGCAAGCGUUGUCCGGAUUUAUUGGGCGUAAAGAGCGUGUAGGCGGCCAGGUAGGUCUGCUGUGAAAACUCGAGGCUCAACCUCGAGAUGUCGGCGGAAACCAUCUGGCUAGAGUCCGGAAGAGGAAAGUGGAAUUCCUGGUGUAGCGGUGAAAUGCGUAGAUAUCGUAAGGAAGACCAGUGGCGAAGGCGGGUCUCUGGACAGUUCCUGACGCUGAGGCACGAAGGUCAGGGGAGCAAACGGG